This 51-nucleotide transfer RNA is filed under the name Rudolgaea borealis. RNAcentral describes it as "partial tRNA-Phe". The record is from RNAcentral. Lineage: Eukaryota; Viridiplantae; Streptophyta; Jungermanniopsida; Jungermanniales; Anastrophyllaceae.
GCCGGGAUAGCUCAUUUGGUACAACAGAGGACUGAAAAUCCUCCUGUCGGC